AAUGCGCCUGAUCUCGUCCGAUCUCAGGAGCUAAG
RNAcentral lists this ribosomal RNA (35 nucleotides) under Petromyzon marinus (sea lamprey). Lineage: Eukaryota; Metazoa; Chordata; Hyperoartia; Petromyzontiformes; Petromyzontidae. The record is from RNAcentral.